AUUGAACGCUGGCGGCAGGCCUAACACAUGCAAGUCGAACGGUAACAGGAAGCAGCUUGCUGCUUCGCUGACGAGUGGCGGACGGGUGAGUAAUGUCUGGGAAGCUGCCUGAUGGAGGGGGAUAACUACUGGAAACGGUAGCUAAUACCGCAUAAUGUCGCAAGACCAAAGAGGGGGACCUUCGGGCCUCUUGCCAUCGGAUGUGCCCAGAUGGGAUAGCUUGUUGGUGGGGUAACGGCUCACCAAGGCGACGAUCCCUAGCUGGUCUGAGAGGAUGACCAGCCACACUGGGACUGAGACACGGUCCAGACUCCUACGGGAGGCAGCAGUGGGGAAUAUUGCACAAUGGGCGCAAGCCUGAUGCAGCCAUGCCGCGUGUAUGAAGAAGGCCUUCGGGUUGUAAAGUACUUUCAGCGGGGAGGAAGGGAGUAAAGUUAAUACCUUUGCUCAUUGACGUUACCCGCAGAAGAAGCACCGGCUAACUCCGUG
RNAcentral lists this ribosomal RNA (489 nucleotides) under uncultured bacterium. RNAcentral's name for it is "partial 16S ribosomal RNA". It matches the Rfam family "Bacterial small subunit ribosomal RNA", at positions 30 to 507 of the family's 1533-position model. The record is from RNAcentral.